Long non-coding RNA from Pan troglodytes (chimpanzee), 2143 nucleotides. NCBI's taxonomy places the organism in Eukaryota, Metazoa, Chordata, Mammalia, Primates, Hominidae. The record is from Ensembl.
AUGGCGGCAGCUCCGCCGCUUUCCAAGGCCGAGUAUCUGAAGCGUUACUUGUCCGGGGCAGAUGCCGGCGUCGACCGGGGAUCUGAGUCCGGUCGCAAGCGUCGCAAAAAGCGGCCGAAGCCUGGCGGGGCCGGCGGCAAGGGAAUGCGGAUUGUGGAUGAUGAUGUGAGCUGGACAGCUAUCUCCACAACCAAACUAGAAAAGGAGGAAGAGGAAGAUGAUGGAGAUUUGCCUGUGGUGGCAGAGUUUGUGGAUGAGCGGCCAGAAGAGGUAAAGCAGAUGGAGGCCUUUCGUUCCAGUGCCAAAUGGAAGCUUCUGGGAGGCCACAAUGAAGACCUACCCUCAAACAGACAUUUUCGUCACGAUACCCCGGAUUCAUCUCCUAGGAGGGUCCGUCAUGGUACCCCAGAUCCAUCUCCUAGGAGGGACCGUCAUGACACCCCGGAUCCAUCUCCUAGGAGGGCCCGUCAUGACACCCCAGAUCCUUCUCCCCUCAGAGGGGCUCGUCAUGACUCAGACACAUCUCCUCCCAGGAGGAUCCGUCAUGACUCCUCGGACACUUCACCCCCAAGGAGGGCCCGCCAUGAUUCGCCAGAUCCUUCUCCCCCAAGGAGGCCUCAGCAUAAUUCUUCAGGUGCAUCUCCUAGGAGAGUCCGUCAUGAUUCACCAGAUCCCUCUCCUCCUAGGCGAGCCCGUCAUGGUUCCUCAGAUAUCUCUUCCCCCAGAAGGGUCCAUAACAACUCCCCUGACACAUCUAGGAGGACUCUUGGCUCUUCAGACACACAGCAACUCAGAAGGGCCCGUCAUGACUCCCCUGAUUUGGCUCCUAAUGUCACUCAUUCCCUGCCCAGAACCAAAAGUGGUAAAGCCCCAGAAAGAGCCUCUAGCAAGACUUCUCCACAUUGGAAGGAGUCAGGAGCCUCCCAUUUGUCAUUCCCAAAGAACAGCAAAUAUGAGUAUGACCCUGACAUCUCUCCUCCACGAAAAAAGCAAGCAAAAUCCCAUUUUGGAGACAAGAAGCAGCUUGAUUCCAAAGGUGAGCAUAUGACUGUCCAUGAGAGGGAUGUAUGUAUCCCUGGGAGCUUUCUUUUGGCCGUUUACUUGAUUUAUUAGGUAUAAGAAUGGAAUUUCUUUGGGAAAGUUUUGAAAAGUGAGAGGCUGGGUUUGGGAGAGUUGAACAAUUAUGGUGGCAGGGAGAAAGGUUUUCAUAUGUCUUUUUAUGUACUUGCUCCACCCCAUAUAAAAGUACAAUUUAUUUGUUGCAGAAGCUUUGGAAUGUACAGAAGUAUAUAAAGAUAAAAUGUGACACAAAAUUCUGUCAUUCAGAGGCAAUUAUUGUUAGUGUUGUAGCCAGGGUCAUCUUAGUCUUUUUUGGUUUGCAUUUUUUAUAUAGUUGAGCUCUGGCUGUGUAGAACAUUUGUAUUGCAUGUGCAGUCUUGCCUGCUCUCCUUUCUUUUUUUUUUUUUUUUUUUGAGACGGAGUCUCGCUCUGUCGCCCAGGCUGGAGUGCAGUGGCACGAUCUCGGCUCACUGCAAGCUCCGCCUCCCGGGUUCACGCCAUUCUCCUGCCUCAGCCUCCCGAGUAGCUGGGACUACAGGCGCCUGCUACCACGCCCGGCUAAUUUUUUGUAUUUUUAGUAGAGACGGGGUUUCACCGUGUUAGCCAGGAUGGUCUCGAUCUCCUGACCUCGUGAUCCGCCCGCCUCGGCCUCCCAAAAAGAAAAGAGAAUAAAUCUGUGUGACUCUGACGCCCCUAGUGUGAAAAUUACAUGAAAUCUCCUACGGCUGGGAGAAGAACUAGAAAUUAAAGAAUUCCUUAUUUUUUUUUUUUUUUUUUGAGACAGUCUCAGGCUGGAGUGCAGUGGCAUGAUCUCAGCUCACUGCAACCUCCGCCUCCUGGUUCAAGCAAUUAUUGUGCCUCAGCCCUCCAAGUAGCUGGAAUUACAGGUGUGCCCACCACGCCAGCUAAUUUUUUGUUUUUAGUAGAGAUGGGGUUUCGCCAUGUUGGCCAGGCUGGUCUUGAACUCCUGACCUGAGAUGAUCUGCCCACCUCAGCCUCCAAAGUGCUGGGAUUAUAGGCUUGAGCCACCAUGCCUGCCAAAGAUUCUUUAAUCCCUUGGAAGAAUCUAAAAAAAUAACUUACC